CGUCUCUAUAUGAGGCAACCGACCUCAUACUUUUCCGGAAAUCUCUAUCAAAAUCGAAAUCCAAUCUGAUAAUCCACCGACAUCAGCGAUUAAAUAUGAUUCAUCCUUUUCGGGCAGCCUCUAUCCAAAUCGAGCUUCAUAUUCAACGGACCUUGGCCGGGGAAUUGAAAUCAAGAACAUCGCUGGGAUAGGAAGAAGAAGAAGAAGAGACGUCCAAGAUUUUGGUCGACUUUCGGAGCAAAGUUUGGGUUUGUUUCGGAAAAGGUUGCUGCUAGAAUUUUGAUCGAGUUUGGGAGGAAGCUUUCAAUAGCCGUGUUCUUCGGGAAGCAUCUGUUUACACCGACCUCCACUGUUACACCCAAAUACCCAAAUCGUUGAUCCCAAUCGUGACACUACCAAUUCUUCGGUGUCGUCUACAGCCGUGUGAGAUGGUUGGAUUCUAUUCAAUCUUGAGCAUCAGAGCGCAAAUCAUCUAUUCCAUAAAAGGUCUGCUGUAGGAAAUCAUAUUGUCAAGAAAAAUUGUUUUUGUAGCCUGAAGUAUGUUGUGGUGGUAUUAGGAAGACUGAGGUGAAGAUUGCGGAUUCUGCAGAUAUUGAAUCAAAUUCACUGUUCACUGCAGAUUUUUCAACAUAUGAUAGUGUUUAUAAAGUCAGAUUUCUAUAUGCAGCUGUACCGGUACAUUCAAGAAUCGGCAAGAAUCAUCAAGUUUUUCAUCAAGAUGAGGUCUGAUGGCUGAAUUUGUUGGUUGUUAGAAAUCAGAACAAGCUUCAGGUUUGUAUAACAUUAAAUCCAUAGGAGUUUCAAUACGACCAUAGUUUGAAAACACAUUAUCUAGAUUGAUUUGGCUUAUCUUUCAAUAUAGUUAAACAGUAAAUGAAGCUACUUCUUCAUUUAGUAAUUUGGUGUCCAUAUACAUACGUAACUGUUAAUGAGUAUUUGACAUGACCUUUGAAAACACAUUGUUUAGAUUUUUUCAACUUAUUUUUCAAGAAUCAUCUAUAGAUAUCUAGGUAAAAGAAUUUAAUAAAUUCUGCUAGAGAUCGAGGUGUUGCAUUUUACUAUAGUAAACUUAUGCCAAACACUACA
Rosa rugosa (rugosa rose) is the source of this 1086-nucleotide long non-coding RNA. RefSeq lists it as uncharacterized. The record is from RefSeq and is a predicted model, not a curated record. NCBI's taxonomy places the organism in Eukaryota, Viridiplantae, Streptophyta, Magnoliopsida, Rosales, Rosaceae. The transcript is spliced from 7 exons.